GAUGAACGCUGGCGGCGUGCCUAAUACAUGCAAGUCGAGCGAACAGACGAGGAGCUUGCUCCUCUGACGUUAGCGGCGGACGGGUGAGUAACACGUGGAUAACCUACCUAUAAGACUGGGAUAACUUCGGGAAACCGGAGCUAAUACCGGAUAACAUGUUGAACCGCAUGGUUCAACAGUGAAAGACGGUCUUGCUGUCACUUAUAGAUGGAUCCGCGCCGCAUUGGCUAGUUGGUAAGGUAACGGCUUACCAAGGCAACGAUGCGUAGCCGACCUGAGAGGGUGAUCGGCCACACUGGAACUGAGACACGGUCCAGACUCCUACGGGAGGCAGCAGUAGGGAAUCUUCCGCAAUGGGCGAAAGCCUGACGGAGCAACGCCGCGUGAGUGAAGAAGGUCUUCGGAUCGUAAAACUCUGUUAUUAGGGAAGAACAAAUGUGUAAGUAACUAUGCACGUCUUGACGGUACCUAAUCAGAAAGCCACGGCUAACUACGUGC
Molecule: ribosomal RNA, 498 nt
Filed under: uncultured bacterium
Lineage: Bacteria
Description: partial 16S ribosomal RNA
Rfam family: Bacterial small subunit ribosomal RNA
Source: RNAcentral